UCUACUAUUGCCCAAAAUUCUUAUUUCUUCGAUACCCAAACACUAUUCAUCAUCUUCAACAAUAUACAUUCUCUGCAAACCCUAAAUUUCGUGCAACGUCAAGAUUUGUUUCGCUUUAGGCCAUUUGAAAACCCCUCACCUUCUCAAUAUUCUUCUUCCUCUUCUCUAAACCUACGACACCAACGACACCACCUUCUAGUUCCAUCUCUGAGAUGUUUGGAAACAAGCGUGAAAACAACAAUAUCAACCAAUCUUGUUCUUUGAAUUUUUGAGAUAAACAUCAUGCCUCAUCCUUCUCCUUUCCCUGAUUUCUUGAAGAUCAAACAGCUUUUUCCUCUCUCAUUUCUUUGAAUUUUAGAAGCAAGUGGCUUCCACACCCACCUUAUCAUUCGAAGGAAAAAUUAAUAACAAGAUUAUAUCCGAAUUGUCGCUUGUGCCUCAUUUCACCCCGACUCCUUAAAGGAAGGAUACGACUACGUCAUGAACCCUUCUAGUCAAUUGCGGUGAACCGGUCUUGACUCCCUAAAGCAUCUUUUCGGUGAUUAGUAACAAUCUCUAAAAGGGGUUUGACCAGACUACAUUCUUGAAAAUAAACUUUUUACUAAAGCUCUUUUCAAAUUGAAAAUUGUUGAGACAAAUGUUGUGGCUGCUUAUGUUGAUAUUACGAUAUGGUCAAUGGAUUAGGUUUGCUAGCUGGUCAUUGACGGAGUUGAGGAACAUUGUUCCCUACUCCCUAUUUUUGAGGCGAGUUGUCACUCAGAUAUUUAUUAGCUUCACCCGAGAGCGACAUAGCCUUAGAGCUAUGGGUGGAACAACCCUGAAUUUCUAACCCCUUUAACGAAACCAGAAUCGUGAAGGAAGGGAGGAGAUUCGAGUGUUGCAUAAAAAGAAAAGGGAAAAUAAUUAAAAUAAACGCUAAAGAUUAAUUGAAAAGAUGAGUAAGUGGAAAUUUCGACAGCAUCUCUGCUGAAAACUGAGGUUGUGACAAGAAUAUAUAAAUGGAUAACAUAACUAAAAUAAUCUAAGGCCUUUAAUGCCUUCAAGAAUACGUCACGACAGAAAGAAUCAUCGUCGGCUUCUCAAAUCAUCAACUCUAACGAGGAUCGUGGUUCCAGUGUUAACGCAUCGAUCUGACGGAUAUUAAAGGAGUAUUCUCAUUACUAUACAUUCAAAAACUACGCAGCGGAACUAUGGAUCAUACAAGGAGUCACAUGGCUCCAUACAAAAGAAAUUAUACAAUCCCAAAAGAAAACUUUACAAGUAAUAUAGAAGCUACAAGCAUAAGGCAAUUUGCACACAAUUGUUACGACCGUACUCCACUCUUUCCCCCAAUGCAAAGCAAAAGAAGCUCCUGUACCUGUCAUGUCAAGCUAUGAUCCUCCUGCUGCUCAACAUAAUGACCAAAGUCAGAUGUGUCAUAGCAGGAAUAUCAUAGAGAGUCAUGAACAAACAACAACAAACACAUACACAUUAGUAAUUAAUGAACUUAUAAUAAUUAAAGUCAUUGAACAAAACUAUAGACAACGAUAUAGUAUGGCAAUAACGAGUUUACUCAUCUGUCUAAACACCUUUAUUUACUCAUAAUUUCUCUUUCAAACUACUAAUCUCUGGAAGUAUAUUCAAGGUAUUGGAUCUUUUCUCUAUUCAUGGCAUAGUGACAUGGCCAAGUGCGUUAUCGGCCACCCGGCGCCCAUGGCAAAGUAUGAGCUCAUGCCACCUCCAGUUGACCAUCUCGGGUCCUACCUUCGGGAAAAAGUAACACACUGGGGUACUAAACCAGUGAAGAGGCCACCAAUCCAUAUUGGGGUUUGCAAGGUAACACCUCAGUUAAGGGGCAGUAUCUGCCACCCGGCGCCCAAUGACCCAAGCAUGCUCGACCCCCCUUACGGUGGUCCCGUCGGACCUCACCUAGGGGACUACUAAAUCAACCGGACAUAAUCCAGUUAAGUCACGCCAACUAAUCAUAAAUCAAGGCUCAAUAAGUAGGAAAUCACUUCGUCACCACACAACCAUGGUGCGUUCUCUACUAUUUAGAAAUCUGUUCUCAUAGUCUCCUAAUGCUUUCAUUCUACUUGCCUAUAUCACUAUUAUGACUAUUCACUAGCAUGACUGGUGUUCUAUAAUUCUAAUACGAUGCAUAUAAUCAUGAAAUAUGGAUAAUACUUUGAAAUAAUGAAUAUGAUAAUUAAUUACUGCGUAUACGUAUCUGCAAGCGUCACUGCGCGACCACAAGAUACAAAAAUCACCUGUCUAAGGUUCUACUUUUCUCUUAUGAAGUGGGCACCUAUAUAAGUUAUGAAUAGAAUUAUAGAACUAAUAAGUUCCUUUAACUACUUUGUCAUAUCAGCUAAAAGCCAAAGUAACCACUAUCAUCUAUUCAUGACAAGUUUUCAAUUACUUCUAGCACGUACGCAUCUCAUUCAACACCAAGCAUAAUCGUCAAUUCAAUAAUAACACAAGUUUUUCCAUCGACAAAAAAUAAAAGGAUUAUGUCAACUGCUUCAUUACACCAACUAACUUUGAGUUAUAACGAUUCACAUUGUCUUAAAAUAAAAUGACGAUUCACACUUAAGUCUCACAAUGUUAGUGUAGUGCUAAUAUGACGACAAGAACAAAUCUUAAGGUUAUCGCAUUGCAAUAUCAUUUAUUAUAUCCUCUAAGGUUAGAAAGAACUAAAAUCAAGACAUCAUAACAGGUAACUUUAAUAAUUCUCAACAAGUUGACACUAUGUUCAUGGUCUUACUAAUAUCAUUUAAUUAUAACUUUGAUAACCUAACGAAGUUACUUGUAAUCAACAUUAAUAAUUUCUGUUACUUUAACAAGGCCAUUUAAGACUACCAUGCCUAACAAAACUUCCACAUUCAACACAAAUAAAGUUACUCAUGUACUAAGACACCAUCAAAAUAGCACACAACCAUUAUUUCAUUCAUACUUCAACUCUAAGCCAUAAAUAUGUUAAACUCAUCAAACACACUCUUACCCACAAAAAGGUUCAAUGAAAAUAAUAUAAGGUUCAACACUUUUCAUUCAUAUUUCAAAAACCCAAUUCAUAAGUGCAUUUAAAUCAUCAAUCAAAUUCUUACCCAUAACAAGAUUCAAUGAAUUUAAUACAAAAUCAACACCAAACUCAUAAGCCUUUAUAAAAUUCUAAUUAGAUACCAGGAAGAUUACUUAGUGUAAACUUGAGAGGCUUACAAUGGGGCAAUUAGAAAAAGAGUAAGGACUAGUCGCGGCUGGACCGUGGUUGUUGGUUGCGGCAGCCUUCAAGGCAGAAGGGGAGGAGCAAGUUGGCGGUCGUGGCUGCAGCAGACGCAUAGCAGGUGGUGGCGCUAGUUGCUGGGCAGCUGCUGUUUGGGGGGAAAAACGUAGCCCCUGCUGCUGCUUGCGAAGAGAGGCGAGGGCAACUGCUUGCUGGUGGGAAAGUGAGAAGGCGACUGCUGGUUGGCGAAAGGAGGAGGCGGCGUAAGAGGAGAAGAGAGAAAGAAGGAGGAGAAGAAGAAAGGAGAAUUACGGCUAGGUUUUGAGCAAGGAGGGCUUUAUGCGUUUUAUCCUUGUUAUUAUUAUUAUUAUUAUUAUUAGGUUUAUUUAUUUAUUUUUAUCUCGAUUCAUUUUCUUGCUAGACCCAACUAAGAGACUCACCUUUGUAGGCUCACACAUUUUAAUAAAAUAAUCAUUUUGAUUCGAACCUUUUUAUUUGA
Amaranthus tricolor (Joseph's coat) is the source of this 3698-nucleotide long non-coding RNA. RefSeq lists it as uncharacterized. The record is from RefSeq and is a predicted model, not a curated record. NCBI's taxonomy places the organism in Eukaryota, Viridiplantae, Streptophyta, Magnoliopsida, Caryophyllales, Amaranthaceae. The transcript has 3 exons.